RNAcentral lists this ribosomal RNA (468 nucleotides) under uncultured bacterium. RNAcentral's name for it is "partial 16S ribosomal RNA". It matches the Rfam family "Bacterial small subunit ribosomal RNA", at positions 28 to 507 of the family's 1533-position model. The record is from RNAcentral.
GACGAACGCUGGCGGCGUGCUUAACACAUGCAAGUCGAACGGAAAGGCCCUGCUUUUGUGGGGUGCUCGAGUGGCGAACGGGUGAGUAACACGUGAGUAACCUGCCCUUGACUUUGGGAUAACUUCAGGAAACUGGGGCUAAUACCGGAUAGGAGCUCCUGCUGCAUGGUGGGGGUUGGAAAGUUUCGGCGGUUGGGGAUGGACUCGCGGCUUAUCAGCUUGUUGGUGGGGUAGUGGCUUACCAAGGCUUUGACGGGUAGCUGGCCUGAGAGGGUGACCGGCCACAUUGGGACUGAGAUACGGCCCAGACUCCUACGGGAGGCAGCAGCGGGGAAUAUUGCACAAUGGGCGGAAGCCUGAUGCAGCAACGCCGCGUGCGGGAUGACGGCCUUCGGGUUGUAAACCGCUUUCGCCUGUGACGAAGCGUGAGUGACGGUAAUGGGUAAAGAAGCACCGGCUAACUACGUG